RNAcentral lists this ribosomal RNA (518 nucleotides) under uncultured Acidobacteriota bacterium. RNAcentral describes it as "bacterial SSU rRNA". It matches the Rfam family "Bacterial small subunit ribosomal RNA", at positions 37 to 587 of the family's 1533-position model. The record is from RNAcentral. Lineage: Bacteria; Pseudomonadati; Acidobacteriota.
UGGCGGCGUGCCUAACACAUGCAAGUCGAACGAGAAAGUGGAGCAAUCCAUGAGUAAAGUGGCGACCGGGUGAGUAACACGUGACUAACCUACCCUCGAGUGUGGAAUAACAUCGGGAAACCGAUGCUAAUACCGCAUAAUAUCGCGAGAUCAAAGCAGCAAUGCGCUUGAGGAGGGGGUCGCGGCUGAUUAGCUAGUUGGCGGGGUAACGGCCCACCAAGGCGAAGAUCGGUAGCCGGCCUGAGAGGGCGCACGGCCACACUGGAACUGAAACACGGUCCAGACUCCUACGGGAGGCAGCAGUGGGGAAUUUUGCGCAAUGGGGGAAACCCUGACGCAGCAACGCCGCGUGGAGGAUGAAGCCCCUUGGGGCGUAAACUCCUUUCGACCAAGACGAUAAUGACGGUACUGGUGGAAGAAGCACCGGCUAACUCUGUGCCAGCAGCCGCGGUAAUACAGAGGGUGCAAGCGUUGUUCGGAAUUAUUGGGCGUAAAGGGCGCGUAGGCGGCGCGACAAG